AAGCGUGCGCAGGCGGUUAUGUAAGACAGAUGUGAAAUCCCCGGGCUCAACCUGGGAACUGCAUUAGUGACUGCAUAGCUGGAGUACGGCAGGAGGGGGAUGGAAUUCCGCGUGUAGCAGUGAAAUGCGUAGAUAUGCGGAGGAACACCGAUGGCGAAGGCAAUCCCCUGGGCCUGUACUGACGCUCAUGCACGAAAGCGUGGGGAGCAAACAGGAUUAGAUACCCGGGU
This 230-nucleotide ribosomal RNA is filed under the name uncultured bacterium. RNAcentral describes it as "partial 16S ribosomal RNA". It matches the Rfam family "Bacterial small subunit ribosomal RNA", at positions 563 to 791 of the family's 1533-position model. The record is from RNAcentral.